CAGUGGUCAGCUUUGUGCAAUGGAUUAAAUGCAAUAUAUUUCUCAUAUUGUUUGCUCUAUUUUCUACGAUGAGCAUUCAUUUAGAAAAAUUUUUUAAAUUUUUUAGUUAAUAGUGCCUCUGAAGCACCUCUCAAGUCCUACCUCCUGCGGCUCCUUUAACAGCGGCCAAGACACCGAAGAGGCGGGGGUGCCAGACAGGCUGACGUCAUGGGCAGCCCGAAAUGACACAGCGAACCGGCCAAUCCCAAGUUUGGAUUCCGGGAGAAGCACGAUCUAUUGGAUACAAGUGCUGGUGGCCUCGGCCAAUGGUGGGAGAGGGGCCGGAGCCCGGCGGCUGCGUGGGUUUUAAAUCCACGUGGUGGCUGCGGGGCGGGGCGCGGGGCCUCGGUGUUUAAAGGCUUUGGGUCCGCCGGGGCUGCAGCGGCGGCUCCGAAGCGCUUGUUCUUUUUUGUGAAAGGCGAUUCCUCCACCACCUCUUAGGAUCUUGGGCAAGUCAGUCAGCCUCGCUGAGCCUGUUUGCAUCAGUAGGGUUUUGUGAGGCUCCAGCCCUUCAACAGAACAUUUGCUGAGCAUCUACUGUGUGCCCAGCAGGGCCUUCUUAGAUCAGGUAUAAGGCAGGAGGGAAGCGUCGGGAGUCCCAGGCCUGCUGCCUCUGUAACCACGGGCAGGUGGUUCAACAUUACCUCCUCUUCUUCCCCACUGCUCUGCCCCGUCCUGGCUUUUAUUGUAUCUCCUCUAAAAGGGUGUGAGCUCCACGGGGAGGUACCCAUGUGCCUUGAGGAAGAUCUGCCCCAGUUUAUAUUCAAUAGGUACUUUUUGAAUAAUUAUUGCAAAGACUAGUUCUCAGCACAGAGCUUAACACAUAGGAGGUGUUUGAUAAAUGGCAAUUGUUCAUGCAAUACAGAACAAUAGCAGGCCAGGUGCGCGGUGGCUCACACCUGUAAUCUUAGCACUUUGGGAGUCUGAGGCAGGAUUAUUGCUUGAGCCCAGGAGUUUGAGACCCCUGGGCAAUGGUAGUGGGACCUCAUCUCUUAAAAAAAGAAAAAAAGAAAAGAAAAAGAAAGACAGAAAUAUAUUAGCCAGGUGUCUUGGUGCAUGCCAGUAGUCCCAGUUAAUUAGGAGGCUGAGGCAGGAGGAUGGCUUGAGCCCAGGAGUUUGAGGCUGCAGUGAGCUAUGAUUGUGCCACUGCACUCCAGCCCGGGCAACAGAACGAGGCCCUGUCUCCAACAGCAACAACAGCAAAGAAGAGCAGAUAGCACUGAUGAAAUGCCUAUUACGUGUAAAGUGGUGUUCUGGGCAUUUCACAUGUAUUACAUGCAAUUUAACAUUAACAAAAUUACAAGUCUUACAUAACAAUAUUCACACAAAAAACAAAUUAGUCACCAUUAUUAUUCCUAUUUUGCUGAUGUGGAAACCAAGGCAGAGAGAGGCGAGGUAAGUUUUCUAAGGUCGCGUGGCUAGGAGGUGGUGGGGCUUGAUUCAAAUCCAGGUCUGUCUACUCCUGGGGCCCUUGUUCUUAACCCCUGCGCUAUCCCAAUACUUGUCUAGUACUCAGCCUUUUUUUUCCAAGAACGUUCUAAGUUAGGCCUGUGCUAGUGGGAAGUGGGAGAGGAGGGGAUAGGAAUCAGGUGGGUGAGGCAGAGCCAGGUGAGCUGGGGUCCUGCCCCCUAUGGCAUGGCCCAGCCCUAUGGGGUGGCAUUGGGCAGGAAGAGGGGCAGUGAGACACACAGCCACUGAGGCCACGUGUCCUGUAAACAGGCUACCUGCUUGCCAGGCCCUGUGCUGGGCUGGUGGGGGGCAGUGCGGGGCAGUGCUGGGCAUGACACACCCUCCCUGCCCUCAUGGGGCUGUCAGUCUAAACCAGCUACCACUAAUGGUGACCUGAGUGCAGCCUGCAGGAGGGGUUUUGAUUUUGCCUGCAUGGUAUUUAAACACUUUUUAAACAUGAAUUGCCUCGGUCCCCACCCCUCCCUAGUGUCACAGAUGUCAGCUUUACUCAUGUGUCCCACCAGCUCCUGAAUGCCCUGAGCAGCUUUGUUCCCUGGUCUCCCCAUGCCAGCAGCCCGCGGGGUUGGGGGGGGGCCUCUGUGGCUGGCACACAGUGAUUGCCCUGGCUUUCUUUGCUUUGCCUCCUGUCUGUGUUUGAAAUCCCGAAAUCACCACCUUGAGCUCUGAAGCCCAGCGGCUCCGAGGCUGCAAGCCUCUCCGCUGGCCCCAGAUGUGCAGCAUGCAGCUUGAAUCUCUGAGGACUCUGGUGGUGGAUGCCAACUCCGAGACCCAGCCUGCCACCCUCCAGGGAGCCGUGGAGAUUUCAGGAUUUCUCCUCUGCGAAAUGGGGAUAACAGCUCCCUCUUCAUCCGGUUAUGGUCAGGGCUGACCUAAGGAGGCUGAGUGCCAAGACCCGAAUUUGCUGCUCCUCACUGACCACUGGCAAGAGCUUCUCAGCCCGUGGCCUUCACCCUCAGCCCCUGGGUGCCCUUUACCCUUGGAGACACUUGCAAAUCUGACAAGCAUGGGUUCUGUGACUUCAUCUGAGUGACUGACGAGCACCCAGAAGAGGACAGACCCCACUGCAGAGAAAGCCGGGGCUUCCUCUUAGACAAGCCCCUCCCAGUCAACGCAUCUUUCACUCAUGUCCUCUCCCAACAAAAGCGUGGAACAGGAAAGUAUCUGCUCUUCACAGCGUCACAUGCUCUAUUUAAAAACAACUUUUGGGAGGAGAGGAGGGAGCAGAACAGAUGUUUGGCCAUGUUAAAUUUACACAGUGAUUGUAGGUUGCAGCCUCCUGCCUGAAAGAUUAAAAUAUGAAAAAAAUGCAUCUCAGAAACACAACAAUAACAACCCCAGCCCCUGUGGUGCACUCACUACAGGGAGGCGCUGUGCUGGGGGCUUUGGAGCUGGAGCGGCUCCAUGUCAACUCCUCAGCAACCCUUGGAGGUUGGUGUUAUCACACCAUUUUACAGAUAAGCUACGACCUCCAAGCCUCAGUUUCCUUAUCUGUAAAAUGAGAGGGAGGCAGAGGGAGAUUCAACAUGUGCAGAGAGAUUAAACACACACAGAGGAGAAGGCCAUGGGAAGACAGAAGCAGAGACGGGGUAGAGGCAGAGAGCAGGCAGAGGGAGGCAGAGACAGAGACCAGGAUGGAGAGGGAGAGGUAGAGACCGGGGUAGGGGGGAGGCAGAGACUGGAAGCAGAGACCAGGCAGGGGGAGAAAGAAACCUGGGAGGAGGCAGAGACUAGAGGCAGAGACCCAGAGGAGGCAGAGACUGGAGUGAUACAGCCAUGAGCCAAGGGACACGGGCACACAGGCAGCCAUCAGGAGCUGGCAGAGGCAGGUGGGACCCCAAUGGGGCCUCUGGAGGGAGCCUGGCCCUGCUGACACUUUAAUUUUGGUCCUGCAAUAACUGAUUUUGAACUUUCGUCCCCUAGAACUGUGGGAGGAUCAAUGCUGCUUGAAGCCAUCAGUUUCUGGGAAUUUGUCACAGCAGCCCAGGAAACACAUGCAGAAGGUUUGGAGAUUGGUCUUUCUGAUGACUAGGGUGCUUGGUGCCCAUUUCAACACUCUCUGCCCUCAGUGGCACAUUCAGACCGCGUUGACUUGGGCAAUGGUGAGGGAAAUGCAAAGGUGAGCCAAAAAUACCUGGUCUCUGUCUUUGGGGGGACUUAAAACAACAGCAGCUCAUUCUGUCGCAGUCCAAGAGGCCAGAAGUCCAGAAUCACGAUGCCAGUGGGGCUGGCCCCUCUAGGGGCUCCAGGGAGAAUCUCCAGCAUUUCUCUCCUGGCCUGGUGGCUGCUGGCUCCUCUGGCGAUGUGUGGCAUGUGGACGCGUCACAGAGAUCGGCAGGCAGAUCUCUGCCUCUGUCUGUGCAUGGUCUUCCUCUCCGUGUGUGACUCUCUGUGUCUUCACUUGGGCUUCUCACAGGGACACCAGUCACUGGAUUUAGGGUGCACUCAAAUCCAGUAUGACCCAUCCAAACUCAUGACAUUUGAAAAGACCCUUUUUCCAAAUAUGGUCACAUCUGAGGUCCCAGGUAGAUAUGAAAUUUGGGUGACACUGUGCAACCCAGUACCAUCCCUUUUUUUUGAGACAGAGUCUUGCUCUGUCACCCAGGCUGGAGUGCAGUGGCGCAAAUAUGGCUCACUGCAACCUCUGCCUCCCAGGUUCACGCCAUUCUCCUGCCUCAGCCUCCCAAGUAGCUGGGACUACAGGCGCCCGCCACUGCGCCUGGCUAAUUUUUUGUAUUUUUAGUAGAGACGGGGUUUCACCAUGUUAGCCAAGAUUGUCUCGAUCUCCUGACCUCGUGAUCCACCCUCCUUGGCCUCCCAAAGUGCUGGGAUUACAGGCGUGAGCCAGCGCGCCUGGCCCAGCACCAUCCCUUUUUGCAGGAGUCACCCUCUUUGGUUUCUGAAAUGGGGACACACGUUACAAUGGAAACGAGCACUUGGGGCUCCCUGUCUCGGAAAAGUUGUUGAAUCAAUGCACGUUGAUUGCUUCAGCAAUCUAGGAAAUACUAUUGUUCCGUCCCUGAUGAUUUGGUUAUGACCAAAGCAGACACAAUCGCUGACCUCAGGGAGCAUGUGUUCUGGUGCAAGAACUGACGCCCAACAAAGCAAUUUGAAAUUCCAAACCUGUGACCACUGGACAAGAUCACCUUUCUCCCACUGAGAAGAAGAUCAGCGUUGGCUCGGGCCAAGUCUGGGAGACAGACAAGGCCUCCUUUCAACAUCGUGCCUCCAGGGGAACCAGGCCAAGUAUCGGCCCUCCAGAGACAGCUGCAGCCCUUGGAGGCCUCCCCACUGAGUCCACACCCCUGGCCCAGGGCACUCAGGCUGGCUGACCGGCCCUGCUCCCUGGCCAGCCUCAUUUCCUCCUGUUCUCUUGCUUGGUGCCCCUAGCAGCCGUCUUGCACCUGGCCACUGCUUCCCACGCCAGGGCCUUUGCCUUUGCUGUUCCCCUGCCUGGCAUGGUCUCGUCAUUCAGGGCUCAGCCUGAAUGUCACCUCCUCCUGGAAGCCUUACCCUCAUCUCAUUAUGUCCUACCCUAUCACCCUAUUUCUUUCCCUUGGGUCACCAGUAAGAACCUGGGUUGAGCGUGUGCAGCCAUCUCAUUGUCUUUGCCUCACUAAACUGUAAACCCUUUGACAAUAGGGAUCUGUCUGGUUUGUUUGACGUGUAACCCCAGCUUCCAGCCUAGCACAGAGAAAGCUCCAUGGAGACACUGACUGUCAGAUGACUGCAGACC
Molecule: long non-coding RNA, 5242 nt
Organism: Pan troglodytes (chimpanzee)
Lineage: Eukaryota; Metazoa; Chordata; Mammalia; Primates; Hominidae
Exons: 5
Source: RefSeq, a predicted model, not a curated record